This 480-nucleotide ribosomal RNA is filed under the name uncultured bacterium. Its description in RNAcentral is "bacterial SSU rRNA". It matches the Rfam family "Bacterial small subunit ribosomal RNA", at positions 8 to 518 of the family's 1533-position model. The record is from RNAcentral.
AGAGUUGAUCCUGGCUCAGAACGAACGCUGGCGGCGUGCUUAACACAUGCAAGUCGAACGAGGUCUUCGGACCGAGUGGCGGACGGGUGAGUAAUACAUAGGCAACCUGCCCAUCAAUGGGGGAUACCCAGCCGAAAGGUUGGCUAAUACCGCAUACGCUCAUCAUCUGGGAUGGUGAUGAGGAAAGAUUUUAUCGUUGAUGGAUGGGCCUGUGGUCGAUUAGCUAGUUGGUGAGGUAAUGGCUCACCAAGGCGACGAUCGAUAGCUGGUCUGAGAGGAUGAUCAGCCACACUGGGACUGAGACACGGCCCAGACUCCUACGGGAGGCAGCAGUGGGGAAUUUUCCGCAAUGGGCGAAAGCCUGACGGAAGCGACGCCGCGUGGAGGAUGACGGUCUUCGGAUUGUAAACUCCUGUCAAGGGGGACGAUGAUGACGGUACCCCUGGAGGAAGCAUCGGCUAACUACGUGCCAGCAGCCGC